AAAUGUUUUCUUUUCUGUAAUCAUCAUGAUGAUUGUUUUACCGACCGGGCGGACAGAAUAGUAUCGGUUUUGGGUGGUUGCUCGCUGUCUUCAAGUGUACAUUUUUUCUAGAGGAUGGUGGCAGCCCUUUGAAAAGCUCAAAAUCCGAGAAGUGGUGAGUGGUCGUGAGAUAGCUGAUUCGUAAAAGAAAAACACAUCU
Zygosaccharomyces rouxii is the source of this 199-nucleotide small nucleolar RNA. The record is from RefSeq and is a predicted model, not a curated record. Lineage: Eukaryota; Fungi; Ascomycota; Saccharomycetes; Saccharomycetales; Saccharomycetaceae.